Molecule: non-coding RNA, 21 nt
Filed under: Arabidopsis thaliana (thale cress)
Lineage: Eukaryota; Viridiplantae; Streptophyta; Magnoliopsida; Brassicales; Brassicaceae
Source: RNAcentral
UCAGUCUAGAUUCUGUGUUUC